CUCCUACGGGAGGCAGCAGUAGGGAAUCUUCCGCAAUGGACGAAAGCCUGACGGAGCAACGCCGCGUGAACGAUGAAGGCCUUCGGGUCGUAAAGUUCUGUUGUUAGGGAAGAACAAGUACCAGAGUAACUGCUGGUACCUUGACGGUACCUAACCAGAAAGCCACGGCUAACUACGUGCCAGCAGCCGCGGUAAUACGUAG
RNAcentral lists this ribosomal RNA (202 nucleotides) under uncultured bacterium. Its description in RNAcentral is "partial 16S ribosomal RNA". It matches the Rfam family "Bacterial small subunit ribosomal RNA", at positions 336 to 530 of the family's 1533-position model. The record is from RNAcentral.